UACCAGCUCUCCGAGUGGUAGGGAUGAUUAUUGGGCUUAAAGCGUCCGUAGCCGGCUUAGCAAGUCUCCUGUUAAAUUCAGCGACCUAAUCGUUGAGCCGCGGGAGAUACUACUAGGCUAGGAGGCGGGAGAGGUCAACGGUACUUCCGGGGUAGGGGUGAAAUCCUAUAAUCCCGGGAGGACCACCAGUGGCGAAGGCUGUUGACUAGAACGCGCUCGACGGUGAGGGACGAAGGCUGGGGGAGCGAACCGGAUUAGAUACCCCGGUAGUCCCAGCUGUAAACGAUGCGAGCUAGGUGUUGGGGUGGCUACGUGCCACUUCAGUGCCGCAGGGUAGCCAUUAAGCUCGCCGCCUGGGGAGUACGGCCGCAAGGCUGAAACUUAAAGGAAUUGGCGGGGGAGCACCACAAGGCGUGAAGCUCGCGGUUC
This 429-nucleotide ribosomal RNA is filed under the name uncultured archaeon. RNAcentral describes it as "bacterial SSU rRNA". It matches the Rfam family "Archaeal small subunit ribosomal RNA", at positions 474 to 903 of the family's 1478-position model. The record is from RNAcentral.